CAAAACUGACUGCGAGAACAAACCAGUAGCAUAAAACUGGCAAAAUUUCCCAGGUUGAACAUAUGUUCUGUCUGUUCUCAAACAGCUCUAUAAGCUGAUGAUCAUGGCUUUCAAGUAUCAAGUCUUCCACUGUCCGCGCCCUCAGGACCUGCUGUUCAUCUCAUACAAUCACGUCGACGCCAUCAGGGAAUUUGUGAAGGACAAAGUGGAUGAAACUCAGAUCAUAAGAUCAUUGAGGGAAAUCGUCUAUGACUGCAGGUGAAUUUCAGCUUCUCCGACAAACGCUGGUUACAUUCUUGCAGGACACACAUCCGUGUGUCAGUUUUCCUCAAAAACAAAAUCCAGAAUCCCAAUGGACGGUUCGCCCUGUCAACCACAGGCCCGGUGCCUCAUGGAAUGGAUGUUCCUGGGAUAAUUCGGUGAGAAGAUCAUCGUUUUACAGAAGAAUUUAUGUUAUUUAUCCCAAACGACCAUCACGUCUUUCAGGACAUUUGACAAUAAGGGGGCGAGAAAUGCAGCAGAGCAGGUUCUCCUCAGGUGUUACAGCCUCCUCAUAAAAGAUGCAUCAAUCGGCGGCCUACAUGGAGACAGAGUCAUCAAACUGGGCGUGAACAUGUCGUGCACCUAAAACCACGUUUUAUUUUUAUUUUUAAAUCACGCUACAUGUGUGGCUAACCCUUCUUUUCCUGUGUUUCUUCCAAAUAAAGGUACAGUGUACAUUUUGGAGGCAAAUCAUCCAAGGUUCCCACAGUGAAGGGAAUCUGACAGUAAAACUCUACACACUGGUUUUGUUAUCUUCAGUGCUUGAGGAAUGUCAAAUGUGAUCACAUUUAAAGCAUAUAAAUGUAAAUUCAAGGUAGCGCUACACCAAAAGCACAGUUUUGUAUGUACCUUGUUGCUGAACAGCCUGGGAGAUGCUGUUCAAAUGCUGCUGGAUGCUCGUGUUGUUGUCCCUUUAUUUAUUCAUUUAUGUAUUUAUUUUUUAAUUUGUUUAUUUAUUUAUUUUUUCAUUUAGGAAAAGUGCGCUUGUCCCCAAUUUUAAGAACAAAGGCGAUGUUCAGAACUGUGGGAAUUAUAGAGGAAUAAAGUUGAUUAGCCACACAAUGAAGUUAUGGGAAAGAGUAGUGGUGGCUAGACUCAGGACAGAAGUAAGUUUCAGCGAGCAACAGUAUGGUUUCAUGCCUAGAAAGAGUACCACAGAUGCAUUAUUUGUCUUGAGGAUGCUCGUGGAAAAAUACAGAGAAGGUCAGAAGGAGCUACAUUGUAUCUUUGUAGAUCUACAAGAAAGCCUAUGACAAAGAACCAAGAGAGGAACUGUGGUACUGCAUGCGCAAGUCCGGUGUGUCGGAGAAAUAUGUUAGAAUAGUACAGUACAUGUAUGAGGGCAGCAGAAAAGUGGUGACACGUGCUGUUGGUGUGUGAGAAGAAUUUAAGGUAGAGGUGGGACUGCAUCAGGGUUCCGCGCUGAGUCCCUUCCUGUUUGCGAUAGUAAUGGAUAGGUGACAGACGAGGUUAGACUGGAUUCCCCUUUGACCAUGGUGUUUGCAGAUGAUAUUGUGAUCUGCAGUGAAAGCAGGGAGCAGGUGGAGGAACAAUUAGAAAGAUGGAGGUACGCACUGGAAAGGAGAGGAAUGAAGAUUAGCCGAAGUAAAACAAUCCAGACCCACGGAGAGUGUGGUAAGGAAGUGAAGAAACGGGUCCAAGCGGGUUGGAACAGUUGGCGGGAGGUGUCUGGUGUUUUAUGUGACAGAAAAGUAUCCUCCAGGAUGAAGGGCAACAUUUAUAAAACAGUGGUGACGCCGCCCAUGAUGUACGGAUUAGAGACAUUGGCGCUGAAGAAACAACAGGAAGCAGAACUUGAGGUAGCAGAAAUGAAGAUGUUGAGGUUCUCGCUCGGAGUGAGCAGGUUGGAUAGAAUUAGGAAUGAGCUCAUUAGAGGGACAGCCAAAGUUGGAUGUUUUGGAGACAAGGUUAGAGAGAGCAGACUUCGAUGGUUUGGACAUGUUCAGAGGCGACAGAGUGAGUAUAUUGGUAGAAGGAUGCUGAGGAUGGAGCUCCCAGGCAAAAGAGCGAGAGGAAGAUGAGGUUUAUGGAUGUGGUGAGGGAAGACAUGAGGGCAGUUGGGGUUAGAGAGGAGGAUGCACGAGAUGGGCUUCAAUGGAAAAAGAUGACACGCUGUGGCGACCCCUAACGGGACAAGCCGAAAGAAAAAGAAGAAAGACUGCAGUGAUACUCAUGAUUGCCUGAUGCUGUUUAAAGUAACUAAACAUCACGUAACUAAACGUAAUGUAACUUAAAGUAACUAAACAUAACGUAACUUAACACAAAGCAUAUAGCAAGUCAUGAUACCCACUACAGAAGCUGAGCUGCACUGCGUUUGUUCACAGAAUAUGGCUGUGGGUUGAGUGCCAGGUCGUCCCGUGAACAUUCUUUGUGGGAACCCCAAUAAUUGCCUCAGCACACAAUGGAACAUAAUUAGUCCUGCCUUUGAUAAAUAUCAUUUCUAUUGUUCGUUACGAGGUGAAAAAAUUGUGGCAAGCUUUCAUAUUGUGAGGGCCAGAUAACUUUUUAUAGUUAUUGUGUUCCGCCAUGACUGCUCAUAUUUUCUGUCAUUGUGUAUGUUUCUUUCAGCUUGUCCCUUUCAGGGUUUCCCCAGUGGAUAUGAACCCACAACCCUGAUUAACCAAACCAGUGCUCUAACCACUGAGCUACGGGGCCUCACUCAUAAUUGUGUCACUCCAGUUCUAAUUUCGGGAUUUUUUCCAUCAACUGUACAGUAUGUAACAGUGAUGAAAGUCCUCCGGAUUUUUGUCUGAUGUUCCUGUUGCAAAUGUUUUGUGAGGAUUAACAGCGAGAUAUGAAUAGUUUAAGCAAAAAUAACUUACAGAAAGCUUUUUGUAACAUUAAUGGAAACUCGAGGCUUGCAACAGAAAUCAAAUUAUACAGCUAUGAUUAGUUUUUUUGUGUUUUGGAUGCAUGUUCCAUGUGACCAAUAAUACUGUAGUCACUAUGAAACUAGUAAUUAAAAGUGGGUUAAUAAUUGUUCUGUUUUGUUUUUUGC
Molecule: long non-coding RNA, 3061 nt
Organism: Syngnathoides biaculeatus (alligator pipefish)
Lineage: Eukaryota; Metazoa; Chordata; Actinopteri; Syngnathiformes; Syngnathidae
Exons: 3
Source: RefSeq, a predicted model, not a curated record